Protopterus annectens (West African lungfish) is the source of this 126-nucleotide small nuclear RNA. The record is from RefSeq and is a predicted model, not a curated record. NCBI's taxonomy places the organism in Eukaryota, Metazoa, Chordata, Ceratodontiformes, Protopteridae.
GUGUUGUUUGAAAGGAGAGAAGGUCAGCAUGUCUCUUGAUAAGGAUGGAAGAGGUCCUCAUGGCCUUUACAACACAUAUGAUUAAGGCAUUUCUACUUACUUCAUUGCAUCUAACUACCAUUGUUA